UACGGAGGGUGCAAGCGUUAUCCGGAUUCACUGGGUUUAAAGGGUGUGUAGGCGGGUAUUUAAGUCAGUGGUGAAAUCUCCAGGCUCAACCUGGAACUGCCAUUGAUACUAUUUAUCUUGAAUAUCGUUGAGGUUGGCGGAAUAUAUCAUGUAGCGGUGAAAUGCAUAGAUAUGAUAUAGAACACCGAUUGCGAAGGCAGCUAACUAAGCGAUUAUUGACGCUGAGGCACGAAAGCGUGGGGAUCAAACAGG
RNAcentral lists this ribosomal RNA (252 nucleotides) under uncultured bacterium. RNAcentral describes it as "partial 16S ribosomal RNA". It matches the Rfam family "Bacterial small subunit ribosomal RNA", at positions 524 to 776 of the family's 1533-position model. The record is from RNAcentral.